This 392-nucleotide ribosomal RNA is filed under the name uncultured Alphaproteobacteria bacterium. RNAcentral's name for it is "bacterial SSU rRNA". It matches the Rfam family "Bacterial small subunit ribosomal RNA", at positions 370 to 779 of the family's 1533-position model. The record is from RNAcentral. Lineage: Bacteria; Pseudomonadati; Pseudomonadota; Alphaproteobacteria.
AAUGGGGGCAACCCUGAUCCAGCCAUGCCGCGUGAGUGAAGAAGGCCUUAGGGUUGUAAAGCUCUUUCGCUAGGGAAGAUAAUGACGGUACCUAGUAAAGAAGUCCCGGCUAACUCCGUGCCAGCAGCCGCGGUAAUACGGAGGGGACUAGCGUUGUUCGGAAUUACUGGGCGUAAAGAGUACGUAGGCGGUUUAUCAAGUUGGGUGUGAAAGCCCGGGGCUCAACCCCGGAACUGCACUCAAAACUGGUAGACUAGAGAUCGGAAGAGGUAAGUGGAACUCCCAGUGUAGAGGUGAAAUUCGUAGAUAUUGGGAAGAACACCAGUGGCGAAGGCGGCUUACUGGUCCGACACUGACGCUGAGGUACGAAAGCGUGGGGAGCAAACAGGAUU